This 422-nucleotide ribosomal RNA is filed under the name uncultured bacterium. RNAcentral describes it as "bacterial SSU rRNA". It matches the Rfam family "Bacterial small subunit ribosomal RNA", at positions 355 to 776 of the family's 1533-position model. The record is from RNAcentral.
UGGGGAAUAUUGCACAAUGGGGGAAACCCUGAUGCAGCGACGCCGCGUGAGUGAAGAAGUAUUUCGGUAUGUAAAGCUCUAUCAGCAGGGAAGAAAUAGCGACCUUUGGGUCGCCAGACGGUACCUGAUUAAGAAGCCCCGGCUAACUACGUGCCAGCAGCCGCGGUAAUACGUAGGGGGCAAGCGUUAUCCGGAUUUACUGGGUGUAAAGGGAGCGUAGACGGCAGCACAAGUCUGAAGUGAAAUGCCGGGGCUUAACCCCGGAACUGCUUUGGAAACUGUGCAGCUAGAGUGCAGGAGAGGUAAGUGGAAUUCCUAGUGUAGCGGUGAAAUGCGUAGAUAUUAGGAGGAACACCAGUGGCGAAGGCGGCUUACUGGACUGUAACUGACGUUGAGGCUCGAAAGCGUGGGGAGCAAACAGG